GAUGAAGAACGCAGCGAAAUGCGAUACGUAAUGUGAAUUGCAGAAUUCAGUGAAUCAUCGAAUCUUUGAACGCAUAUUGCGCUCUCUGGUAUUCCGGAGAGCAUGCUUGUUUGAGUAUCAGUAAACACCUCAACUUCCAUAUCUUUUUUGAAAUGGGAGUUGGACUUGAGUGAUCCCAACGCUUUUCCUCACCGAAAAGUGGCGGGUUACUUGAAAUGCAGGUGCAGCUGGACUUUUCUCUGAGCUAUAAGCAUAUCUAUUUAGUCUGCCUAAAAAACAGAUUAUUACCUUUGCUGCAGCUAACAUAAAGGAGAUUAGUUCUUGUGCUGACUGAUGCAGGAUUCACAAAGACAGGCUUCGGCCGACUUUGUAAACUCGAUCUCAAAUCAAGUAAGACUACCCGCUGAACUUAAGCAUAUCAAAGCGGAGGA
Molecule: unclassified non-coding RNA, 431 nt
Filed under: soil metagenome
Description: partial contains 5.8S ribosomal RNA, internal transcribed spacer 2, and large subunit ribosomal RNA
Rfam family: 5.8S ribosomal RNA (bases 1-120)
Source: RNAcentral